AAGGGUCAGAGUCAACGGAUCAGUCAAAGGGUCGGAGUUAAAGGGUCAAAGUGAAAGGGUCAGAGUCAAAGGGUCAAGGUCAAAGGGACAGUCAAAGGGUCAAAGGUUCAGAGUCAACGGGUCAGAGUCCAAGGAUCAGGUCAAAGAUUCAGAUACCAUGGGUCAGAGUCAAAGGGUCAGAGUCAAAGGGUCAAACGGUCACAGUCAAAGGGUCACAGUCAAAGUCUCAGAGUCAAAGGGUCAA
This is a long non-coding RNA of Amblyraja radiata (thorny skate), 244 nucleotides long. RefSeq lists it as uncharacterized. Lineage: Eukaryota; Metazoa; Chordata; Chondrichthyes; Rajiformes; Rajidae. The transcript has 3 exons. The record is from RefSeq and is a predicted model, not a curated record.